ACAAUCACAGGGACGGUGAAGCCAGCCGAGGGAAAUCAAACGGGAAGGAGGGAUGCUGUCAGUCAUAAUAUCAGAUGCGUCCGUCCUCCACCCUCGCCACCUCCGAUCAGCAGCAACGUCACGCUCCUCAUCACAGGAUUGCAGCCACUUCCCUCACCACCACCACCAGCGUCUGGACCACAAGGUGGAAUACAGCCUCGUCUGACCUAAACAUCUCUACCCCUGGACUGUCCUAUUGCUGGAUGGAGUCCAAUCUCCAAAGACUUUGCACAAAUUAUAUUUAUGCAUGUUUCAUAUAUUUGUGCUGAUUGAAUUGCCUUUCUAUAAGAAUCUCAAACAAAAAAAUAAAUAUUACAAGAUUACAGU
This is a long non-coding RNA of Gasterosteus aculeatus aculeatus (three-spined stickleback), 366 nucleotides long. The record is from Ensembl. NCBI's taxonomy places the organism in Eukaryota, Metazoa, Chordata, Actinopteri, Perciformes, Gasterosteidae.